Non-coding RNA from Microcebus murinus (gray mouse lemur), 463 nucleotides. NCBI's taxonomy places the organism in Eukaryota, Metazoa, Chordata, Mammalia, Primates, Cheirogaleidae. The record is from RefSeq and is a predicted model, not a curated record.
GAAAAAUUGCAUUUCAGCAAAAACUCUGGAAAGACUUGUCUGCUAGCUUGAGGACCUGGUGGCAGCUUUUUGUCUCUGCUUACAUUUAUCUAUAUCUUCCACCUUGUGGCAACUUCCUGCCCUUGGAAAACCUAUUUAGUAAUUCGGACUAUCAUCAGCAAAGGGCUCAGGAUCUCGGUUUGGGUCCUGCCACUGAAAGAGGUCACUUCCUACCAGAGGCCGUCUAGGAAGCCAAGAAACUCCUGGUGGGAGCAGUGCAGAUCCCCAAGAAACUGCAGUAAGACUGUAGCCCCUGGAAUCUUCUGGGCAAGGGGCUCUGGAAGGUUUGCGUUUGGUUUGAAAUGGCAAGCCCAGGAAUUUUGAGCAGAUUCUGACAGGCCCAAGCUCUCCCAGUCCUACUUUUCAUCCGUCAGCGAUUGACUCAGAAUCCCUCGGCCAGACGGAUGAAGACUCCCAGCUGUCA